RNAcentral lists this ribosomal RNA (253 nucleotides) under uncultured bacterium. RNAcentral's name for it is "partial 16S ribosomal RNA". It matches the Rfam family "Bacterial small subunit ribosomal RNA", at positions 524 to 776 of the family's 1533-position model. The record is from RNAcentral.
UACGAAGGUGGCAAGCGUUGUUCGGAUUUACUGGGCGUACAGGGAGCGUAGGCGGUUGGGUAAGCCCUCCGUGAAAUCUCCGGGCCUAACCCGGAAAGUGCGGAGGGGACUGCUCGGCUAGAGGAUGGGAGAGGAGCGCGGAAUUCCCGGUGUAGCGGUGAAAUGCGUAGAGAUCGGGAGGAAGGCCGGUGGCGAAGGCGGCGCUCGGGAACAUUUCUGACGAUGAGGCUCGAAAGCGUGGGGAGCAAACAGG